ACGGAGGGUGCGAGCGUUAUUCGGAAUUACUGGGCGUAAAGCGCGUGUAGGCGGGGGGACAAGUCUGAUGUGAAAGCCCUGGGCUUAACCUGGGAAGCGCAUUGGAAACUGUUUUUCUUGAGUACUGGAGAGGAAGGGGGAAUUCCCGGUGUAGAGGUGAAAUUCGUAGAGAUCGGGAGGAAUACCAGUGGCGUAGGCGCCCUUCUGGACGGUAACUGACGCUGAGACGCGAAAGCGUGGGGAGCAAACAG
This 251-nucleotide ribosomal RNA is filed under the name uncultured bacterium. Its description in RNAcentral is "partial 16S ribosomal RNA". It matches the Rfam family "Bacterial small subunit ribosomal RNA", at positions 525 to 775 of the family's 1533-position model. The record is from RNAcentral. RNAcentral also lists the same sequence under 1 other name.